RNAcentral lists this long non-coding RNA (556 nucleotides) under Homo sapiens (human). Its description in RNAcentral is "novel transcript, antisense CACNA1S". The record is from RNAcentral. Lineage: Eukaryota; Metazoa; Chordata; Mammalia; Primates; Hominidae.
AAAAAUCGAGGGGAAGAGGAGAGGGCUUGGAGGCAGCAUGUGGGGAGAGGUCAACCUCUAAAGUGCCAGCUCUCCAGAAAUGCAGCCGGAAUGAAGGCUUUAUUUGAGGAGCCUGGCAGUCCUAUAAGGGGAAACCCACCUAUUACUUCAAGCAAAGCUGAUGCAGAGAGAUGAGCCAAUUGAGCAGGAGACAAUGUAAGCAGCUGUGGGGGUGUCGAGUACUCCCUCCUGCCUGUGGGAGCUGCACCGUGGAGUCUAGCUUGUCACCCUCCGGAGGCAGAGCCCCUCCUCCCUGCCUCCUCUUGGUCUAGAUGGACAGCCAUGGCAGCGGAGGCUGCAGAGCUGAGCAGGUGAUACUGGGCAGCGACCCUGCUGCGGGCAGCGUCCACACCCCACAGCUCUUUACUGCAUUUAUUUAACAAGCGACAUUGAGCCAGCAAUCUCUGCUGAAAAGUGCUCAGCCCUGGAGAGAGAACUGUGAACAACGUGGACACAGCUCCUGCUUUGUGGAGCUUGGUGUCUGACUGGGGUAAAAAUAAACAAGCAGUUACAACAC